GUUUAAUAUUGCCAUGCCUCAAAGCUUUAUCAGUGUUGGUGUUGUGGGGUUCCUUUGUGUCCAGCAGGUGACGUCUGUUUUGACGAUAUACCUGUCCAUCAGCAGUACGCACAUGAUACUAUCUCUAAGCAUUAGCUGCUUUUAUGAUAUAUUCUAACUGUCUGUCCGUCAUUGAGCUGAGAUAAUGGUCUGGCCGACCUAUCAUAGGUGCUCUUUGGCUGUCGUUGCUUCUCCAGCCUUUUGGCUGUGCUGUAGAUUACCUCCGACAGCUUCUUUUUGGAGUGGAGUAGUAAACCGUAGGCGGUGGCUCAUUAGCAACUGUCUUGGAGACUUGAAUUCAUCAACAGAGCUUUUGCAAUAUUCCAGGAAACGGAGAUAUGUGUCCCUUGUAUCAGUCCAGGCCUUUUCCAGCAGUAACUUUGCACUUUACCAUACAAACUCACAUGAUUCUUUCAGGAGCUGGCGCAGUGGUGCAUUGAUAUUGGCGAGGCUGGGUGCAACUUUCGAGAG
This is a non-coding RNA of Pelobates cultripes (western spadefoot toad), 510 nucleotides long. Lineage: Eukaryota; Metazoa; Chordata; Amphibia; Anura; Pelobatidae. The record is from the annotation of a GenBank genome assembly.